GGAGUGUGCCUUUCAGGCAUCCUCUCCUAAAAACUUUUCGGCCGGUCAUUGACCGGCCUUUUUUUUUGGCCCG
RNAcentral lists this small RNA (73 nucleotides) under Sphingomonas gellani. RNAcentral's name for it is "Makes More Granules Regulator RNA (mmgR)". It matches the Rfam family "Makes More Granules Regulator RNA (mmgR)". Rfam says of the family: SuhB later renamed mmgR (makes more granules regulator) was a putative non-coding RNA found multiple times in the Agrobacterium tumefaciens genome and related alpha-proteobacteria. Other non-coding RNAs uncovered in the same analysis include: speF, ybhL, metA, and serC. The record is from Rfam by way of RNAcentral. Lineage: Bacteria; Pseudomonadati; Pseudomonadota; Alphaproteobacteria; Sphingomonadales; Sphingomonadaceae.